GACCUCCCAACGCUUACCACAGGCUGUGUUCUUUACAAUGACUGUAUAGAAAGAGGAGGUACAUUAAAUGCACCCCAUAUACACCUCAACCCAGGCCCUUUGCCUGGUCUGUACUGUAAAUGGGUGAGAAAAAA
Molecule: small nucleolar RNA, 134 nt
Organism: Suncus etruscus (white-toothed pygmy shrew)
Lineage: Eukaryota; Metazoa; Chordata; Mammalia; Eulipotyphla; Soricidae
Product: small nucleolar RNA SNORA51
Exons: 1
Source: RefSeq, a predicted model, not a curated record